RNAcentral lists this ribosomal RNA (464 nucleotides) under Vreelandella stevensii. Its description in RNAcentral is "partial 16S ribosomal RNA". It matches the Rfam family "Bacterial small subunit ribosomal RNA", at positions 338 to 795 of the family's 1533-position model. The record is from RNAcentral. Lineage: Bacteria; Pseudomonadati; Pseudomonadota; Gammaproteobacteria; Oceanospirillales; Halomonadaceae.
CCUACGGGUGGCAGCAGUGGGGAAUAUUGGACAAUGGGGGGAACCCUGAUCCAGCCAUGCCGCGUGUGUGAAGAAGGCCCUCGGGUUGUAAAGCACUUUCAGUGAGGAAGAACGCCUGGUGGUUAAUACCCAUCAGGAAAGACAUCACUCACAGAAGAAGCACCGGCUAACUCCGUGCCAGCAGCCGCGGUAAUACGGGGGUGCGAGCGUUAAUCGGAAUUACUGGGCGUAAAGCGCGCGUAGGUGGCUUGAUAAGCCGGUUGUGAAAGCCCCGGGCUCAACCUGGGAACGGCAUCCGGAACUGUCAAGCUAGAGUGCAGGAGAGGAAGGUAGAAUUCCCGGUGUAGCGGUGAAAUGCGUAGAGAUCGGGAGGAAUACCAGUGGCGAAGGCGGCCUUCUGGACUGACACUGACACUGAGGUGCGAAAGCGUGGGUAGCAAACAGGAUUAGAUACCCUAGUAGUC